This is a long non-coding RNA of Numida meleagris (helmeted guineafowl), 1196 nucleotides long. RefSeq lists it as uncharacterized. The transcript is spliced from 4 exons. The record is from RefSeq and is a predicted model, not a curated record. NCBI's taxonomy places the organism in Eukaryota, Metazoa, Chordata, Aves, Galliformes, Numididae.
GGAGCGGAGCGGGCGCCCCUUCGCCCCGCCCACCGCCGUUGCCAUGGCGGCGGCGAGGUCUGCUCGGGGAGGCCAGGGACGGCUCGCCCCGUGACCCCUCACGUUCAGGGGAUGGCUGAGGUUGGAAGGGACCUCUGGAGGUCAUCGAGUCCGCCCUCCUGCUCCCCUAGAGCGCGCUGCCCGAAAGUGUGUCCAGGGAAGGAGAUUCCAUGACCCUCUGGGCAGCCUCUGCCGUCCCCCCCCAGACUGAGGCCUGAAAGAGAGCCCUUCCCAAGUGGCGCUGCCCACUUCUGCGUUUCGUUCCUCCAAAUAAAGCAGUGUGAUCCCCUGGGCUACCUCUUGACGGCCUGCUGCUCCUGUGUUCGCCGGCCAAAAGGCACCAGAAAGCAGGAGCGUGCCCUGCCUGGGACGAAGCGCCAGAUACUGAGAAUGAAAAGAACACGAAGCAUUCAGCUUUCUGAAGCAUUCAGCCAUCCGAAUAUACAUGAGCUAACCAGCACAACGCAGAUAUAAUGGAAGGACUUCCUGGUCAUUCUGGAGCAUUAGCAGCUGGGUAUGAAUUAGUACCUGGGUAUGAAUUGCACGCGUGCAGUAAAUCAAAUGCUGAAAGCUCCCUUUUUCUGUCCUCUAAGCCACCAGUCAUUGAUGCAGACUGAUAAAGGAGGGACUCUCUACAUGCAGGAGGUCACUCAUCCCAAACGUGCAGCAGGAAGAUGCUGGAGCUGCCUCAUCAGUGCCACUUCCAUGUUGUGUUUGAUCUCAGGAGAAGGACUGCAUGGAUGAAUUCGUGCAACAACCCUACCAGCCAUAGAAGAAUGUAUCUUACAAGACAAUCCACUGGUGACUUGUAAUAGAUUGGCUAUCCCUCACCCACAGGGGUAAGCAUUCUUUUGAGAUCUGCGAGAAUCUUUUUGGUAUACCUGGAAAUAAGUCUAAUUAUUAAAAUUUCUGAAGACAGAGUUUAGAAUCCACCUUCUGUGGACUAAAGAAUCUGUUUAGUGCUUGUUUCUCAUCUUGGCUGUUCUACUAUAGUGAGCUUUACCACUUGAAUUCACUGAUGAAUGUUUUAAGCUGAAUGAAGCCUCUAUUUAUUUCAUUUUUUUCAAAAUCUGUUACCAAAGUUCAGAGUAUUCUGCAGUUCAAAGACGGUUCCUUGCUUCUUCGAAGAUUUUAUUAAAUGGAUCUAUACCAUCCUC